This 467-nucleotide ribosomal RNA is filed under the name uncultured bacterium. RNAcentral describes it as "partial 16S ribosomal RNA". It matches the Rfam family "Bacterial small subunit ribosomal RNA", at positions 28 to 507 of the family's 1533-position model. The record is from RNAcentral.
GAUGAACGCUGGCGGCGCGCCUAACACAUGCAAGUCGAACGAUUACAGCAUCUUCGGUUGUGUAUAAAGUGGCGAACGGCCGGGUAACACGUGGGUACCUUGCCCCUUUCAUUGGGAUAGCCACUGGAAACCGUGGACAUUACCGAAUACUUCGUACCUUCCGCAUGGAAGACCAGAGGAAGCUCCGGCGGGGAGGGAUGGGCCGGCGGCUUGUUAGCUUGCUGGGGGGGUAAUGGCCUACCAAGGCAAUGCUGGGUAGCUGGGUUGAGAAACCGACCAGGGACAAGGGGACUGCGAGACGGCGCAGACUGGUACGGGAGGCAACAGUGGGGAACCUUGCACAGUGGGCGAACGCGUGAUACAGCGACGCCGCGUGCGGGAUGAAGGCCUUCGGGGAGUAAACCGCAUUCAGCAGAGACGAGGCGAAAGUGACGGUACCUAAAGAAGAAGCCCCGGCUAACUACGUG